Molecule: ribosomal RNA, 292 nt
Filed under: uncultured bacterium
Lineage: Bacteria
Description: partial 16S ribosomal RNA
Source: RNAcentral
GGACUACCGGGGUAUCUAAUCCUGUUUGCUCCCCACGCUUUCGUGCCUCAGCGUCAGUGUUGAUCCAGAUGGCCGCCUUCGCCACUGAUGUUCCUCCCGAUCUCUACGCAUUUCACCGCUACACCGGGAAUUCCACCAUCCUCUAUCACACUCUAGCGAGCCAGUAUCCAUCGCCAUUCCCAGGUUGAGCCCGGGGAUUUCACGACAGACUUAACUCACCGCCUACGCACGCUUUACGCCCAGUAAUUCCGAUUAACGCUUGCACCCUUCGUAUUACCGCGGCUGCUGGCAC